This 306-nucleotide unclassified non-coding RNA is filed under the name plant metagenome. RNAcentral's name for it is "partial contains 5.8S ribosomal RNA, internal transcribed spacer 2, and large subunit ribosomal RNA". The stretch from base 1 to 105 matches the Rfam family "5.8S ribosomal RNA", at positions 50 to 154 of the family's 154-position model. The record is from RNAcentral.
GAAAUGCGAUAAGUAAUGUGAAUUGCAGAAUUCAGUGAAUCAUCGAAUCUUUGAACGCACAUUGCGCCCGCCAGUAUUCUGGCGGGCAUGCCUGUCCGAGCGUCAUUUCAACCAUCAAGCCCCCGGGCUUGUGUUGGGGACCUGCGGCUGCCCGCAGGCCCUGAAAACCAGUGGCGGGCUCGCUGUCACACCGAGCGUAGUAGCAAUCACCUCGCUCAGGGCGUGCUGCGGGUUCCGGCCGUUAAACAGCCUUACAACACCCAAGGUUGACCUCGGAUCAGGUAGGAAGACCCGCUGAACUUAAGC